GACGAACGCUGGCGGCGUGCUUAACACAUGCAAGUCGAACGGAAAGGCCCUGCUUUUGUGGGGUGCUCGAGUGGCGAACGGGUGAGUAACACGUGAGUAACCUGCCCUUGACUUUGGGAUAACUUCAGGAAACUGGAGCUAAUACCGGAUAGGAGCUCCUGCUGCAUGGUGGGGGUUGGAAAGUUUCGGCGGUUGGGGAUGGACUCGCGGCUUAUCAGCUUGUUGGUGGGGUAGUGGCUUACCAAGGCUUUGACGGGUAGCCGGCCUGAGAGGGUGACCGGCCACAUUGGGACUGAGAUACGGCCCAGACUCCUACGGGAGGCAGCAGUGGGGAAUAUUGCACAAUGGGCGGGAGCCUGAUGCAGCAACGCCGCGUGCGGGAUGACGGCCUUCGGGUUGUAAACCGCUUUCGCCUGUGACGAAGCGUGAGUGACGGUAAUGGGUAAAGAAGCACCGGCUAACUACGUG
RNAcentral lists this ribosomal RNA (468 nucleotides) under uncultured bacterium. Its description in RNAcentral is "partial 16S ribosomal RNA". It matches the Rfam family "Bacterial small subunit ribosomal RNA", at positions 28 to 507 of the family's 1533-position model. The record is from RNAcentral.